GUUAUAUCUGUGUAGGUGGUGUUCAGUACCAAGGACAGGUCUGUUCAUCUGUGUGGAUGUUGUUCAGCAUCAGAGCAGGUAUUGUGAUACU
RNAcentral lists this microRNA precursor (91 nucleotides) under Branchiostoma floridae (Florida lancelet). RNAcentral describes it as "mir-2060 microRNA precursor family". Lineage: Eukaryota; Metazoa; Chordata; Leptocardii; Amphioxiformes; Branchiostomatidae. The record is from Rfam by way of RNAcentral.